AACGAACGUUGGCGGCGUGGAUUAGGCAUGCAAGUCGAACGCGAAUCCCUGGGCAACUGGGGAGGAGAGUGGCGAAAGGGGCAGUAAGGCGUGGGUAACCUACCCUCCGGGCCGGGAUAGCUUCGGGAAACUGAAGGUAAUACCGGGCGACGCAGCGAGAUCGCAUGGUCUUGCUGCCAAAGGUCCGCCGCCGGGGGAGGGGCUCACGUGGUAUUAGCUAGACGGCGGGGUAACGGCCCACCGUGGCAAAGAUGCCUAGCAGGUGUGAGAGCACGACCUGCGCCACUGGCACUGAGACACUGGCCAGAAACCUACGGGUGGCUGCAGUCGAGGAUCUUCGGCAAUGGGCGCAAGCCUGACCGAGCGACGCCGCGUGUGCGAUGAAGGCCUUCGGGUUGUAAAGCACUGUCGAGGGGGAGGAAGCCGCAAGGUUGACCUAUCCCUGGAGGAAGCACGGGCUAAGUUCGUG
Molecule: ribosomal RNA, 469 nt
Filed under: uncultured bacterium
Lineage: Bacteria
Description: partial 16S ribosomal RNA
Rfam family: Bacterial small subunit ribosomal RNA
Source: RNAcentral